CCUACGGGUGGCUGCAGUCGAGAAUCAUUCACAAUGGGGGAAACCCUGAUGGUGCGACGCCGCGUGGGGGAAUGAAGGUCUUCGGAUUGUAAACCCCUGUCAUGUGGGAGCAAAUUAAAAAGAUAGUACCACAAGUGGAAGAGACGGCUAACUCUGUGCCGGCAGCCGCGGUAAUACAGAGGUCUCAAGCGUUGUUCGGAAUCACUGGGCGUAAAGGGUGUGUAGGCUGUUACGUAAGGCGUGUGUGAAAGGCGCGGGCUCAACCCGCGGACGGCACAUGAUACUGCGAGACUAGAGUAAUGGAGGGGGAACCGGAAUUCUCGGUGUAGCAGUGAAAUGCGUAGAUAGCGAGAGGAACACUCGUGGCGAAGGCGGGUUCCUGGACAUUAACUGACGCUGAGGCACGAAGGCCAGGGGAGCGAAAGGGAUUAGAUACCCGAGUAGUC
This 446-nucleotide ribosomal RNA is filed under the name uncultured bacterium. RNAcentral describes it as "partial 16S ribosomal RNA". It matches the Rfam family "Bacterial small subunit ribosomal RNA", at positions 338 to 795 of the family's 1533-position model. The record is from RNAcentral.